RNAcentral lists this ribosomal RNA (510 nucleotides) under uncultured bacterium. RNAcentral describes it as "partial 16S ribosomal RNA". It matches the Rfam family "Bacterial small subunit ribosomal RNA", at positions 28 to 507 of the family's 1533-position model. The record is from RNAcentral.
GACGAACGCUGGCGGCGUGCUUAACACAUGCAAGUCGAACGAAGAGCGAUGGAAGCUUGCUUCUAUCAAUCUUAGUGGCGAACGGGUGAGUAACGCGUAACCAACCUGCCCUUCAGAGGGGGACAACAGUUGGAAACGACUGCUAAUACCGCAUACGAUCUAAUCUCGGCAUCGAGGAUAGAUGAAAGGUGGCCUCUACAUGUAAGCUAUCACUGAAGGAGGGGAUUGCGUCUGAUUAGCUAGUUGGAGGGGUAACGGCCCACCAAGGCGAUGAUCAGUAGCCGGUCUGAGAGGAUGAACGGCCACAUUGGGACUGAGACACGGCCCAGACUCCUACGGGAGGCAGCAGUGGGGAAUCUUCCGCAAUGGACGAAAGUCUGACGGAGCAACGCCGCGUGAGUGAUGACGGCCUUCGGGUUGUAAAGCUCUGUUAAUCGGGACGAAAGGCCUUCUUGCGAAUAGGGAGAAGGAUUGACGGUACCGGAAUAGAAAGCCACGGCUAACUACGUG